Non-coding RNA from Trichodelitschia bisporula, 99 nucleotides. The record is from the annotation of a GenBank genome assembly. Lineage: Eukaryota; Fungi; Ascomycota; Dothideomycetes; Phaeotrichales; Phaeotrichaceae.
UCCGAUAUGGUCUAGUGGUUAGGAUUACCCGCUCUCACCAGAGUUCGCUCGCUGUAACAAAGCGCCGGGUAGGCCCGGGUUCGAUUCCCGGUAUCGGAA